Molecule: long non-coding RNA, 861 nt
Filed under: Ursus maritimus (polar bear)
Lineage: Eukaryota; Metazoa; Chordata; Mammalia; Carnivora; Ursidae
Description: lncRNA (ENSUMAG00000007667.1)
Source: RNAcentral
UUUUAUUGUUUUCACAGAAAAUGCAAUAACUCCUCAUUGAUAUCAACUACCCAGUUGCAAGAAGAGUAUAUACCUUCUGCUUUUUUGAGACACAGGCGAAGCAAUUUGGUUAAUAAGAAGAAGAGGAGACUUGAUUGUUUUCCUGGAAAGGACAAAGGUUUGACUUUUUUUUGCUGUUGUUACAUGUAUGAAAAAUAUGGAAGAGUGCAUCAGGGUUCCUAUUAAAUUCUUUCCUGCAGACAUUAAGGUGUAUGAAGCCCUGAAGAUUUAUCCCAUGGUAACAUAACCGAUAAAUUGUAUAACUAGUCUCAUUUUGGUGACAAGUAAACAUUGCUCAACAAACACACAUACCGCUUUGCAUACCUUACCUGGAAAGAGGCUUUAUUGAACAUAGCUGUAAAAUUAUCUUUUAAGUUGAAUUACUGAAUUUGCACAAACAUUUCUACAGAAUUUUUUUUCUUUUAAAAAUCAAGCUUUGUCAUUUUCCACUACAUUUUGUUGUGCUUUUUAUAUUAAUAUUUGCAAAUGUUAUAAUUUAAUACUUCUAUCCCAAUUACUUGCAUAAUCAGUUUUUUUUUUAAUCCUGGGGUAUUGAAAGAACAUAUAAUAAUAAUAAUAUUCUUCUUUAGACAAAAGUCUUUUUAAAUGAAGUUAAAAGCUGAGAUAAUUUAAGGAAAAAGAUCUUCAAAUUUUCGUAACCAACAGGUUUAAGUGAAAUUUACAAUGCAUUGGAAAACUGGCUGGUUAAAGGUAUGCUUUGUCCUCAGGUAGCUCAAAAUCAUUAUUUUUACAGGUUUUUGUUUUUUUGUAAAAGUGUUUUUAAUCUUGGUAAAAUAAUAAAAUAAUAUUUCACAAUUUGCA